CCAAUAGCGUAUAUUAAAGUUGUUGCAGUUAAAAAGCUCGUAGUUGAAUUUCGGAAUCAAUGGAUCGGUCAUGCCAAUCGGUGUGUACUGGUUUGAUUGGUUCUCACCUUCUAAGGAACCGUGAUGUCAUUAAUUUGGUGUCGCGGGGAAUUAGGACUGUUACCUUGAAAAAAUUAGAGUGUUUAAAGCAAGCUCACGCUUGAAUACAUUAGCAUGGAAUAAUGAAAUAGGACAUUGUAUUCUAUUUUGUUGGUUUCUAGGAUCGAUGUAAUGAUUAAUAGGGAUAGUUGGGGGCAUUAGUAUUCAAAUGUCAGAGGUGAAAUUCUUGGAUUUAUUGAAGACUAACUACUGCGAAAGCAUUUGCCAAGGAUGUUUUCAUUAAUCAAGAACGAAAGUUAGGGGAUCGAAGACGAUCAGAUACCGUCGUAGUCUUAACCAUAAACUAUGCCGACUAGGGAUCGGAUGAUGUUAAUUUUAUAAUGACUCAUUCGGCACCUUACG
RNAcentral lists this ribosomal RNA (501 nucleotides) under uncultured Glomeromycotina. RNAcentral describes it as "partial small subunit ribosomal RNA". It matches the Rfam family "Eukaryotic small subunit ribosomal RNA", at positions 591 to 1092 of the family's 1831-position model. The record is from RNAcentral. Lineage: Eukaryota; Fungi; Glomeromycota.